UGGGGAAUAUUGCACAAUGGAGGAAACUCUGAUGCAGCGACGCCGCGUGAACGAUGAAGGCUUUCGGGUCGUAAAGUUCUGUCCUAAGGGAAGAUAAUGACGGUACCUUAGGAGGAAGCACCGGCUAACUACGUGCCAGCAGCCGCGGUAAUACGUAGGGUGCAAGCGUUGUCCGGAAUUAUUGGGCGUAAAGGGUUCGCAGGCGGCUUUUUAAGUCAGGUGUAAAAGAUCACGGCUCAACCGUGGUAAGCACUUGAAACUGAAAAGCUUGAGUCAAGGAGAGGAAAGUGGAAUUCCUAGUGUAGCGGUGAAAUGCGUAGAUAUUAGGAGGAAUACCAGUGGCGAAGGCGACUUUCUGGACUUGUACUGACGCUGAGGAACGAAAGCAUGGGGAGCAAACAGG
Molecule: ribosomal RNA, 403 nt
Filed under: uncultured bacterium
Lineage: Bacteria
Description: bacterial SSU rRNA
Rfam family: Bacterial small subunit ribosomal RNA
Source: RNAcentral